GAUGAACGCUGGCGGCGUGCCUAAUACAUGCAAGUCGAGCGAACAGAUGAGGAGCUUGCUCCUCUGACGUUAGCGGCGGACGGGUGAGUAACACGUGGAUAACCUACCUAUAAGACUGGGAUAACUUCGGGAAACCGGAGCUAAUACCGGAUAAUAUAUUGAACCGCAUGGUUCAAUAGUGAAAGACGGUUUUGCUGUCACUUAUAGAUGGAUCCGCGCCGCAUUAGCUAGUUGGUAAGGUAACGGCUUACCAAGGCAACGAUGCGUAGCCGACCUGAGAGGGUGAUCGGCCACACUGGAACUGAGACACGGUCCAGACUCCUACGGGAGGCAGCAGUAGGGCAUCUUCCGCACUGGGCGAAAGCCUGACGGAGCAACGCCGCGUGAGUGAUGAAGGUCUUCGGAUCGUAAAACUCUGUUAUUAGGGAAGAACAAAUGUGUAAGUAACUAUGCACGUCUUGACGGUACCUAAUCAGAAAGCCACGGCUAACUACGUG
This 497-nucleotide ribosomal RNA is filed under the name uncultured bacterium. RNAcentral describes it as "partial 16S ribosomal RNA". It matches the Rfam family "Bacterial small subunit ribosomal RNA", at positions 28 to 507 of the family's 1533-position model. The record is from RNAcentral.